CGUUAAGCUGGUAAGACCCCUCAUAGACGAUGAGGUUGAUAGGUUCGGUGUGGAAGCGCGGCAACGCGUGGAGCUGACGAAUACUAAUCGGUCGAGGACUUAUCCACA
RNAcentral lists this ribosomal RNA (108 nucleotides) under Brevibacillus borstelensis. RNAcentral describes it as "partial 23S ribosomal RNA". It matches the Rfam family "Bacterial large subunit ribosomal RNA", at positions 2818 to 2925 of the family's 2925-position model. Lineage: Bacteria; Bacillati; Bacillota; Bacilli; Caryophanales; Paenibacillaceae. The record is from RNAcentral.